This is a non-coding RNA of Polyporus arcularius HHB13444, 96 nucleotides long. Lineage: Eukaryota; Fungi; Basidiomycota; Agaricomycetes; Polyporales; Polyporaceae. The record is from the annotation of a GenBank genome assembly.
GGUUCAAUGGUGUAGUUGGUUAUCACGUCUGUCUCACAUUAUGGCACAGCUGUCUACGUGCACAGGAGGUCUCCAGUUCGAGCCUGGAUUGAACCA